Molecule: ribosomal RNA, 253 nt
Filed under: uncultured bacterium
Lineage: Bacteria
Description: partial 16S ribosomal RNA
Rfam family: Bacterial small subunit ribosomal RNA
Source: RNAcentral
UACGUAGGAGGCAAGCGUUGUCCGGAGUUACUGGGCGUAAAGCGCACGCAGGCGGUCUUGUCAGUCUGUAGGGACAGGGCACAGCUCAACUGUGUCAGGCUUAUGGAAACUGCAAGACUUGAGGGCUUCAGAGGGAUGGGGAAUUCCGGGUGGAGUGGUGAAAUGCGUAGAGAUCCGGAAGAACACCAAAGGCGAAGGCAAUGUUCUGGCUCGUUUCUGACGCUCAGGUGCGAAAGCCAGGGGAGCGAACGGG